AUGUUAUCACCAUUCCGUUCCGUUUUCAAUUUCAAUCGACGGUUGACAUGGUGAAUCAGACUUGUGAAGAACAGUUACAUCCCUAACGUUUCAGAUUUGACGAAGCAGAGAAGCGGAUCCGAGAGGAUGUCCAAAGAUUCAGAGCGAAGGUUGAAGGUGCUGAGAUGUUGUUGAUGUUGAUGAAGAACGUUGGAUGCAGAUGAUUCUUGAAGGUGAGUUGAAGAUGUAUCGAUGAAGAGAUUGAAGAUUCUGUUAUGAGUGUGGAAGGUCGAAGGGAUUGAAGAUGUUGAAGUUGUCAAGAGUGAGGAUGAAGAUGAGGAUUUCUGGAGAAAAUGGGGGUUG
Molecule: long non-coding RNA, 342 nt
Organism: Vicia villosa (hairy vetch)
Lineage: Eukaryota; Viridiplantae; Streptophyta; Magnoliopsida; Fabales; Fabaceae
Exons: 3
Source: RefSeq, a predicted model, not a curated record